RNAcentral lists this long non-coding RNA (666 nucleotides) under Fukomys damarensis (Damara mole-rat). RNAcentral's name for it is "lncRNA (ENSFDAG00000021981.1)". The record is from RNAcentral. Lineage: Eukaryota; Metazoa; Chordata; Mammalia; Rodentia; Bathyergidae.
UGUUAUUAAGGAAAGAGAGUUCACCUUUCUAUCAAAAUCAUACAUCAUAUGUAUGAUAAUUACACAUGAUUGUGUAUACAGAAACACAUUGCUACUGAGCCUGAAAUUUCCAAAUAUCUAGAUUCGAUUGGCUGCCAAAUACUCAACAGAUUUGUGCUUUUUCAGGGUCCAGAAGAGAGAGAGAUGGCGUCAUUUGACUUGUGUGCCUGAAGGGAAGGUUCAUAAAGUUCUCCUCAUAGCAAACACAGCAGAUUUCCCUGCCCAGCGCCAGUCCCGGGCCGCGGAGGAGAAGCCCAUGGAGCCGGGAGAAGAGCGAAGGCGCCCCCUGCUGGCCAGAUGCCGCAGGCGCGGCCACCCUACUGCUCCCCUCCUCCCCGCCAGCGCGCCCGCCUGGACCCAGCGCUACCCUCCCGUGCCCCCAGCGAGGGGAACGUGUUCCAAGAAACAGAAAACGAAACACAAACAAACAAAGCGCCAAAACCACUCUCACCUCGUUUGCUGCUCAAAGAGAGUUCUGGUGGCUGCUACUGGAAAAUUUUUGAAGAGGAGAUGAAGAGGUGAUAAUAGUAGAUACAUAGGGCAAAACUUGUCACAAAUCUUUGGGACUCAUCUAUCUCCUUUGGAUUAUGCAUGUGAUACAAAAGAAAUAAAAAGAAUAAACUGCAG